GUAACACGUAUCCAACCUGCCGUCUACUCUUGGACAGCCUUCUGAAAGGAAGAUUAAUACAAGAUGGCAUCAUGAGUCCGCAUGUUCACAUGAUUAAAGGUAUUCCGGUAGACGAUGGGGAUGCGUUCCAUUAGAUAGUAGGCGGGGUAACGGCCCACCUAGUCUUCGAUGGAUAGGGGUUCUGAGAGGAAGGUCCCCCACAUUGGAACUGAGACACGGUCCAGACUCCUACGGGAGGCAGCAUG
This 245-nucleotide ribosomal RNA is filed under the name uncultured bacterium. RNAcentral describes it as "partial 16S ribosomal RNA". It matches the Rfam family "Bacterial small subunit ribosomal RNA", at positions 110 to 353 of the family's 1533-position model. The record is from RNAcentral.